AACGAACGCUGGCGGCAUGCCUAACACAUGCAAGUCGAACGAUUGCUUUCGGGUGAUAGUGGCGCACGGGUGCGUACCGCGUGGGAAUCUGCCCUUAGGUUCGGAAUAACAGCUGGUAACGGCUGCUAAUACCGGCUGAUAUCGCGAGAUCAAAGAUUUAUCGCCUGAGGAUGCGCCCGCGUUGGAUUUGGUAGUUGGGGCGGGAACGGCAUACCAAGCCGACGAUCGAAAGCUGGUCAGAGAGGAUGAUCCGCCACACUGGUGCGGAGACACGGCCGGGACUCCUACGCGAGGGAGGAGAGGGGAAUAGUGGAAAAUGGGCGCAAGGAUGAAGCAGCAAGGACGGGUGAGUGAUGAAGGCCGGAGGGUUGUAAAGCUCGUUUACCCGGGAAGAUAAUGACGGUACCGGGAGAAUAAGCCCCGGCUAACUCCGUG
RNAcentral lists this ribosomal RNA (435 nucleotides) under uncultured bacterium. RNAcentral's name for it is "partial 16S ribosomal RNA". It matches the Rfam family "Bacterial small subunit ribosomal RNA", at positions 29 to 507 of the family's 1533-position model. The record is from RNAcentral.